UUUAGGGAGACCUACACCCCUCAGAAAUCGAAAAGCAAACAGCUAUAUAGAUACUGAGUUGGUCUAACCUAGGUCGGUCGCAGACAUUUGCAAUAUGUUGAACGCUUUCAAACUAUGAUGAAGGUUCGAUAUGGGCUAUUAGCUCAGUUGGUAGAGCGCCUGCUUUGCAAGCAGGAUGUCAGCGGUUCGAGUCCGCUAACCUCCACCUGUGGCGAUUGCCAUUGAUGAAAUAGAGUGAGAAACCAGCAACAUGACUUAAUUGAGUCAGACUGCUGAGUCAGUUCUCAGCCAGAACCUUGAAAACUGUAUAGUAACGCGAAAUUAGCAGGCAGACACAGACAUUCCGAAAGGAAUUGAUUGUGAAUGCAAAAGUUAAAAGACCAAAAGAAUUGAGU
Molecule: unclassified non-coding RNA, 395 nt
Filed under: Nostoc cf. lichenoides JT1-VF3
Lineage: Bacteria; Bacillati; Cyanobacteriota; Cyanophyceae; Nostocales; Nostocaceae
Description: 16S-23S ribosomal RNA intergenic spacer
Rfam family: tRNA (bases 133-205)
Source: RNAcentral